GCAUUUUAAGUGUGUCUGUAUAACAUCUAUUGUCAGUUCUGUUCCAGUUUUCCUUUUUAUCAACUAUAUAUUUAAAGAAAACAUAAUUUGAAUAAGUUCACCCACUGUCAAAUUUGAAUAGAAAAUGAAAUUUAACAUAUGUAACAAGUUAAAUUUCAUUGAUUUAUUUUCUUCAUUUUUUAAUAACGCCUGUUGAAGAUUUUCUUUAGAUUACAUAGGUGUUGAAUAUAUUCGAUAUUCACUGUUUGUGAAUAAAGUCUAUUUACAAGAGUUCAUUUCAGGCAGGUUAAAGGUCAUCCAAUAGGUUUAAGGUCGACAAAUAUGCUAAGACCAUAAGACACAUUUAAGGUCAUACAAUAGGUUUAAGGUCAACAGAAAUGCUAAGGCAAUAAGAUAGGUUAAAGGUCUUUCAACAGGUUUUAAGGUCAACAGAAAUGCUAAGACAAUAAGAUAGGUUAAAGGUCUUUCAAUAGGUUUUAAGGUCAGCAGAUAUGCUAAGAAGAUUGAUAGGUUAAUUAAGGUCAACAGAAAUGCUAAGACAAUAAGAUAGGUUAAAGGUCUUUCAAUAGGUUUUAAGGUCAGCAGAUAUGCUAAGAAGAUUGAUAGGUUUAGGUUAAUUCAUCAGGUUUAUGGUUAUCAGAUGUGUGAAAAGUAAUUCAACAGGUUUUAUGUCAUUAGAAUUGUGUAAGGUCAUUAGAUAUGUGUAAGGUCAUUGGAAAUGUGUAAGGUCAUUAGAUAUCUGUAAGGUCAGUAGUCAAUUUAAGGUCAUUCAAUAGGUUUAAGGCUAUUUGACCAGUUCCACUUUUAUAAUUUGGAAUGGAAACUUUAUCUUAAUAUUUUUAUUCAAGGUAAGGUUUCUAGCUUUGAUCAUGUCAAAUCAGCAUAAUUAAUGAAUUAACAGUAUUUUUAAUAUUUUUUUUACACAGAUACUUAAGUAAUAAAAAAUAUGUAGCAAUAUUGAGGUUUGUACAAAUACCACAUUGAAAUGAAAUAUAAAAUAUAAAUUUAAGUUUCUGUGCUUCAUACAAAUGUACUUCAGUCAAUGCUUUUACACCCCAAUGAAUUUACAAAAAGAAACAUUCAAUUCUUAAAUGUUAAAAUUAAAUGCAUAUACAUUUAUGCAUCUGUCAGAGUGCUGAUAGGUCAUGGGUACAUAGCGGAUAUAUAAAAACAGUUAAGAUUGACAACAUCUCUUCUAAAAAUAUCUCAUCAGCUACAUGUUUUCCUGAGUGCUCAUAGGUAAAAGUUAACCAAGAAGUUAUGGAAAAUGUUAAUACCCAUAACACAUCAGUCAAACGGAACAUUUAUUAUAGAACCUACAACUUAUUUUUAUAUCAGUAAAAUCUUCACACUGUAAACUUUAGAAAGGACCCAUGAGACUUUGAUUUAGAGUUAACUUGAUUGGUUGUACUAUUAUUGUUAUUACCCAACAAUACAGUAGUAUUAUAAGAUAAUUGUCUUUAUAAAUCUGACAAUGUCUUACAUUUAUUCUAUCAUCUGGGAAAUUAGCACGACAUUUUAAUCCCAAUUCGCUAAAACAAUGUCUACUAAAAAAUCUCAAAGCAGUAAAACAUUUAUAUACCAGAUUUUUUUCUCAAAUCUUUCAGGAUAAUAAUGUGGACUUGAAGCUUUCUUUGACAUAAAAUCAUUAAAAAAAACUUUCUUUUAAUGACUGUUCUAAAAGUGUGAGAUAGAUAGAAGAAAGAUAUUGGUUGUUGUGUUUUACUUUUAGGAUAUAGUCUAAGGACAUUGUCUGAGGACUAACAGUUUCAAAUAGGUAGAGGAGAGACCUGGGGACCUUGCAUAUAUAAAAAAGAAGAUGUGGUAUGAUUGCCAAUGAGACAACUAUCAACAAAAGACCAAAAUGACACAGACAUUAACAUCUAUAGUUCACCGUAUACCAGUUUCACCAUAUAUUAUUGAGAAGUUAUUUAUUAUUUAUAUAGAUAUGUGAAGUAGAGGUCAGCUGACAAUGACCCAACAACAAAACAGAACCAAAGACAUUUGAAGGUCUACCAUAAUAGACAUCAACCUGUUUGCCUACAUGAUAUUUUUUCCUCCAUCUUUUUAUUUGGAAAAGUGUUUAUACUUAGCAUAAGUGAAAUUAUCUGAACAUUUUCUAUUUAAGAAUCAAGAAGUUAAUUUCCAUUGGUCUCAAGAUAGACUUUGCUCAAUUUUUGGAAAAUUUUAGUUAAGAUUCUGUUGGUCUAUAGGGAUGAUUUUUACAGGCCUAAGGGCAGUUUUACAAGUCUGGGCUGCUGGGCCUGUUGCUUCGUGGGAAGACUGGGUUUUUUUUAACUAAAAUUAAGAUAAAUGUUUCACCACAGACUCAAUCUUGAAGAUGCUAUCUAGCUUUAGUGCUUGCUUUUAAACAUGUGACCCAGGAUUUUUUUUUUUUUUUUUUUUUUUUGCUAUUAAAGUAAAUGUAUUAUUAUCUCCCCUGGUUAUUGGAGUCUUGCACAAAUACAACAUAUUUAUCCUAUUGGAUGUCUACAACCACUCAAUUUACCAAGUAAUAUAUUUUUUCUCUCUAUUCAUCAUCUAAAAAAAGCAGAAAAUGAAUACUCUCUUUGGGAACAAUCCCCAUCAACGAUAAAGUGAUGAUACCUAAAUCAUACAGACAAACUAGGAUCAAUGGUUAAUACCUAUAUACAUAUGUGUAAAAAGAACAUUCAUCUCCCUAUCAUGUUUAAAUAAUAUCCCUAAGCAAUCAUGUACUUUUCCUUUGUAUAACAAAUAUUUUUUUUUCACUAGAAUUAUGUGAUCAAUAUAAAACAAAAAAGUUUUACCCAUAUCUGAUUACUCUCAUUUAGGAACAUUAUUUUAAGGCUUAUAAUUUUUUAAAUAAAACUUUCCAAUAGUAUUCUUACUGCAUUUAACGACCAUUCAAACAAAAUAUUGGAUUGUGUAUUGUUAUAAAAAUUACAACUUCUUGUUGAAAUGAACAGGAUUAAAAAAACAUUAAUGAAGAAAUUUCUGGGGAAAGCUUAAAUUCAAAGAAUAUAUCUGUUUUAAUAUUUAUCUAUUCUGGAAUCAUAUACUAAAAGCCUUGAGUAAGCAGAAUUAAGUCAUAUUUAGCAACAAGGGACUUAAGAAGUUAGGUGUGGGUGCACUUAUACUUAUACUCUGGUCUAGAAAACUGAUACGACACCAAGGGCAAUGCAUGUUGAUUUUUGUGCAAGGUACAGAAACUUCUAAUUAGGCAAACAAGGCAAUAUAUGUUCAUUGGGUAUUGAUUUUGGUAAAUUUAGACACCAGGAAUUAUUUCAGGAUGUGUUUAAGAUUAAAAUAAAGUUUUGUUAAAAUGUAAGCAGUACAAAUUUUGGCAGCCAUGUCAUAAAUGGUGGGCAACCAUUAAUUUUUGACACACGGGAUCAAACUAGCAUGACUAGUCAGUGUUGCCUUUAUAAAGUUAGUACAAUGUACCUGUAUGAAAUUUAGAAUAGAAAUAAUGGAGUCGUCAAUCCAACAACUCAUGAAAGAGAACAGACAUCCAGAAUGGACAUCUUAUAAUGUACUACUAGCUGUUUUACUAAAAUCAAAGGGCAAGUUUCACAAGACUUAAACCAUGUUGGACAUUUAGGGACAAGCUUUUUUUUUUAUACCUUAAAUCAUCUUGGAAGUUAAAAGAUAAUCUCAUUUACAAAGUUUAAGGACAAUCAAUUUCUCACAGAGGCACACAGAAAUGAAUGGAAAUAGAACAAAUGUGGAAUAAAUAAAUUUAGAGUGAUUUUUCUAGAAAAAAAGUUCUUCAUACUUUUUAACUUUGAAAAGUUAGCAAAAAACAUAAUUUCCUAUUUACAUUCCCUGGAACCAUACCACUCACAUCAUCAAACUCUCUUUGUAUAUGGAAAAACAGUAGUCUGGGAAACUUGGAACCAGACACAAUAAACUGUAACAAGAUGACCUGGCUAAAAAUGUCAAAUUCACUGGAAUAAACUUUCUUCUAUAUUUUUGUUAAAUUGAUAGGCUACUGAUAAAGUUUAACACUCUUGUCAAAAAUAAAUAUUUCAAUGUAUACUUAAUCUUUCUUAUUUAACAAAACUUAAAACUUGCCAAGUCACAUACAAAGUUCGAGACAAAAACCAAGCCUAAUGGGUUCACCUCUAGACAUUUAAAUAAAUUCAAAGUUUAAAUCACACCCCUAUAUACCAGACAGGUAAGCAAACAAUAAGAAUUUAUCAGUACUUAACUUCUUAUACAUCCAAAUGUAGACCAGCCAUAUUUCAAUACCUAUAUAAAUAGUUACAGACAGUCCUACCUGAAUCAGCUGAUGUCCCAGACAGAUCGUUACCUGUAUGUCUCACCUGAAAUAUUACCUGACUAUAUUUACCUAUUGAUUUUUGGAUAGGAGACCUUCACUAUGACAACUCUGUUGAAUUUUCAUACUUUUCAGAUGUCUACAUCAAACUUUUCUAAGCCAAAAGCAAUAAAGCCAAUUGAUUUAGUCUGACAUUUUAAAAAAAUACCUUUGUUCAUCAGAAACUUUCCUGCACUUCUAUAAAGGAGUGCAUGGUUCAGCGCACACGAAGGUGAUUAACAUAUUAUUUUAAUUUGAAUCCUAUGACAUUUAAAAGUCUUCCUAUUAUAUCAACUAAUGCUUACUUAACUGCUUAAAAUUGAUAUUGGAAUAUUUAAC
Molecule: long non-coding RNA, 4639 nt
Filed under: Mytilus galloprovincialis (Mediterranean mussel)
Lineage: Eukaryota; Metazoa; Mollusca; Bivalvia; Mytilida; Mytilidae
Source: RNAcentral